This 2252-nucleotide ribosomal RNA is filed under the name Salmonella enterica. RNAcentral describes it as "partial 23S ribosomal RNA". It matches the Rfam family "Bacterial large subunit ribosomal RNA", at positions 709 to 2925 of the family's 2925-position model. The record is from RNAcentral. Lineage: Bacteria; Pseudomonadati; Pseudomonadota; Gammaproteobacteria; Enterobacterales; Enterobacteriaceae.
AUAGACCCGAAACCCGGUGAUCUAGCCAUGGGCAGGUUGAAGGUUGGGUAACACUAACUGGAGGACCGAACCGACUAAUGUUGAAAAAUUAGCGGAUGACCUGUGGCUGGGGGUGAAAGGCCAAUCAAACCGGGAGAUAGCUGGUUCUCCCCGAAAGCUAUUUAGGUAGCGCCUCGUGAAUUCAUCUCCGGGGGUAGAGCACUGUUUCGGCUAGGGGGCCAUCCCGGCUUACCAACCCGAUGCAAACUGCGAAUACCGGAGAAUGUUAUCACGGGAGACACACGGCGGGUGCUAAUGUCCGUCGUGAAGAGGGAAACAACCCAGACCGCCAGCUAAGGUCCCAAAGUCAUGGUUAAGUGGGAAACGAUGUGGGAAGGCCCAGACAGCCAGGAUGUUGGCUUAGAAGCAGCCAUCAUUUAAAGAAAGCGUAAUAGCUCACUGGUCGAGUCGGCCUGCGCGGAAGAUGUAACGGGGCUAAACCAUGCACCGAAGCUGCGGCAGCGACACCGUGUGUUGUUGGGUAGGGGAGCGUUCUGUAAGCCUGUGAAGGUGUGCUGUGAGGCAUGCUGGAGGUAUCAGAAGUGCGAAUGCUGACAUAAGUAACGAUAAAGCGGGUGAAAAGCCCGCUCGCCGGAAGACCAAGGGUUCCUGUCCAACGUUAAUCGGGGCAGGGUGAGUCGACCCCUAAGGCGAGGCCGAAAGGCGUAGUCGAUGGGAAACGGGUUAAUAUUCCCGUACUUGGUGUUACUGCGAAGGGGGGACGGAGAAGGCUAUGUUGGCCGGGCGACGGUUGUCCCGGUUUAAGCGUGUAGGUAUGUGUUCCAGGUAAAUCCGGUUCACUUUAACACUGAGGCGUGACGACGAGGCACUACGGUGCUGAAGCAACAAAUGCCCUGCUUCCAGGAAAAGCCUCUAAGCAUCAGGUAACAUCAAAUCGUACCCCAAACCGACACAGGUGGUCAGGUAGAGAAUACCAAGGCGCUUGAGAGAACUCGGGUGAAGGAACUAGGCAAAAUGGUGCCGUAACUUCGGGAGAAGGCACGCUGACACGUAGGUGAAGUGAUUUACUCACGGAGCUGAAGUCAGCCGAAGAUACCAGCUGGCUGCAACUGUUUAUUAAAAACACAGCACUGUGCAAACACGAAAGUGGACGUAUACGGUGUGACGCCUGCCCGGUGCCGGAAGGUUAAUUGAUGGGGUCAGCGCAAGCGAAGCUCCUGAUCGAAGCCCCGGUAAACGGCGGCCGUAACUAUAACGGUCCUAAGGUAGCGAAAUUCCUUGUCGGGUAAGUUCCGACCUGCACGAAUGGCGUAAUGAUGGCCAGGCUGUCUCCACCCGAGACUCAGUGAAAUUGAACUCGCUGUGAAGAUGCAGUGUACCCGCGGCAAGACGGAAAGACCCCGUGAACCUUUACUAUAGCUUGACACUGAACAUUGAGCCUUGAUGUGUAGGAUAGGUGGGAGGCUUUGAAGUGUGGACGCCAGUCUGCAUGGAGCCGACCUUGAAAUACCACCCUUUAAUGUUUGAUGUUCUAACGUGGACCCGUGAUCCGGGUUGCGGACAGUGUCUGGUGGGUAGUUUGACUGGGGCGGUCUCCUCCUAAAGAGUAACGGAGGAGCACGAAGGUUGGCUAAUCCUGGUCGGACAUCAGGAGGUUAGUGCAAUGGCAUAAGCCAGCUUGACUGCGAGCGUGACGGCGCGAGCAGGUGCGAAAGCAGGUCAUAGUGAUCCGGUGGUUCUGAAUGGAAGGGCCAUCGCUCAACGGAUAAAAGGUACUCCGGGGAUAACAGGCUGAUACCGCCCAAGAGUUCAUAUCGACGGCGGUGUUUGGCACCUCGAUGUCGGCUCAUCACAUCCUGGGGCUGAAGUAGGUCCCAAGGGUAUGGCUGUUCGCCAUUUAAAGUGGUACGCGAGCUGGGUUUAGAACGUCGUGAGACAGUUCGGUCCCUAUCUGCCGUGGGCGCUGGAGAACUGAGGGGGGCUGCUCCUAGUACGAGAGGACCGGAGUGGACGCAUCACUGGUGUUCGGGUUGUCAUGCCAAUGGCACUGCCCGGUAGCUAAAUGCGGAAGAGAUAAGUGCUGAAAGCAUCUAAGCACGAAACUUGCCCCGAGAUGAGUUCUCCCUGAGACUUUAGGUCUCCUGAAGGAACGUUGAAGACGACGACGUUGAUAGGCCGGGUGUGUAAGCGCAGCGAUGCGUUGAGCUAACCGGUACUAAUGAACCGUGAGGCUUAACCUUACAACGCCGAAG